Homo sapiens (human) is the source of this 948-nucleotide long non-coding RNA. Ensembl annotates it as long intergenic non-protein coding RNA 467. The record is from Ensembl. Lineage: Eukaryota; Metazoa; Chordata; Mammalia; Primates; Hominidae.
GGGUUUCGCGGCGCUCGCCGCACUGGUUGUUCAGCACCUUCGGUCCGGUUGAGGUUGUCAAGUCGGACCAAACAGGUUGUUUCUCUGCAGUUUCCAUUACGAAAGAUGAGUAUUUAGUACUCCAUUUGUGCUGUUUUCCUUUUGUGGUAUCAUUCAGCCUUGUGGCUUCAAACAUUGUACUGAAGAUUCUCAGACUUAUUACUACAUGGCAGGGAGGUUUAAUAGACAUGGAUAAGAAGUCCACUCACAGAAAUCCUGAAGAUGCCAGGGCUGGCAAAUAUGAAGGUAAACACAAACGAAAGAAAAGAAGAAAGCAAAACCAAAACCAGCACCGAUCCCGACAUAGAUCAGUGACGUCUUUUUCUUCAGAUGAUCCUAUGUUUCCUUCUUCCUCAUCAUCGUCUUCAGGAAGCCAGACAGAUUCAAGUAUUGAAGAUGCUGCCAAGGGAAAAAUUAAGAAGAAGAGAAGAGAGAAAACAAAUAAAUGGGAAAAAAGAAAGGACAAAAUAUGAAACACCAAGAAAAAGAGAAGGAAAAAAAGGAGGAAACAACCACAUAUGUCACCUUUCCAAGGAAUAUAAUUCAAUAUCAGAAUGAUUUGGAAGGAAAAAACCUACAGGAAGCUAUUGUAGCCUAGUGAGGAAGAUAAAUAUUAAUACAGCCAAUUUAUAGAUCAGACUAAAGACAAUGAUUGGGGCAUUGAAAAGAACAGAUAGAAGAAAUAUUGCAAAGAGGGACUGAAACUGGGCUGACCCUUUUGAUUUCCAAGCUCAGCGUUUUGGUGUAAGGCGGCCAAAGAAGGAUGCGGAGCCCAGCACUGUGAAGCCUACAAAAACAUUGAUGCGCUGGCUUGGGGAUUUGAAUUUGAACAUCUUUCACACUAAGUUCAGACUCAUGAAACCAAUCUUCAGAUGCUCUGUAAACCACAUAAUAAAGAGUUUGGAAAUU